GGAAUUUUUAUGUAACGCAGAAUCACACGGAUGAAAUACGGUAAACUGCUGCUGUCUGAACACUCUGUACCACGAACCACAGUUGCAUUUAACCGACGAAUGAAUGAAAAUUCUUUUCAACUUCAUCUUAAGGAAACGAAACUUUCGGCUUGCUGGACGAUUCCGAUUCUGUUUUAUUAGCUCUGUUAGAGCGAAGCACCGCGCCUGG
This is a long non-coding RNA of Acromyrmex echinatior (Panamanian leafcutter ant), 208 nucleotides long. The record is from RefSeq and is a predicted model, not a curated record. NCBI's taxonomy places the organism in Eukaryota, Metazoa, Arthropoda, Insecta, Hymenoptera, Formicidae.